This is a long non-coding RNA of Acipenser ruthenus (sterlet), 1539 nucleotides long. RefSeq lists it as uncharacterized. NCBI's taxonomy places the organism in Eukaryota, Metazoa, Chordata, Actinopteri, Acipenseriformes, Acipenseridae. The transcript has 3 exons. The record is from RefSeq and is a predicted model, not a curated record.
CAAGAAGUUGACAAAGGAGAACGGACACUAGACACAUUAUCCUAAAUCAUUAAUCGUGACCGUAGCCUACUGCGUGUUCUUGAAUAGAUUUAUAUACAUUCACAUAUCCUUAGGUACAAACCAACUAGAAAUCAAUCGUUAGAAAACUAAAAUUGAACUGCACCUGCUGGGAAACAGAAGCAUCUAGUAGUACUAUAAAUACGAUAUUGAAUCAUAAACGUAUCGUGUUUAUCGUUUUUAUUUGAAAAUCAGUCCAGUACAGUAGGUACUUUUAAAAUGACUCCGAAUUAAUUUGUGUAUCCACAACAUGAGAAACAUAUGGUGAUAGAAACAGUCGCCUUGAUUGAGUUUAGACAGGUCAGAGAUGGGGCAUGGAUGAAAUGUGAGAUUUUUGGUUAUUGAAAAUUAUUUUGGUUUUGGUUGGGAAGACCUGCAUCCUGCAAAGAUAUAUUGAUGACAGCUUUCAUCAUUCCGACGUGUCUACACUUGGGAUUGAUUUCAAGGUGAACUUUACACUUAAAUGACACAUUCAUUAAACUUCAGAUCUGGGAUGCAGCUGGGCAAGAGCGUUUCGACACCAUAUCAACUCAUUAUCUCAGAGGAGCCCAUGGGCUGUUAAUUAUCUAUGACAUCACAAAUUCAUUGAGCUUUGACAAUGCUGUUGGAUGGAUGAAAGAUGUUGAUGCAGUGAGAAAAGGAAUACUUUUCGUAACUUGUAUCAUAGUUACAAAAUUGAAAACAUAUGUUUUAAUGUUAGAAAAGUGUUAUAUCCUCCUUUAGUCCACAGCAGACUUGCUCACAUUGUCACUGUUUGUUCAAUCCCUGCUUUGUGGGUAAACAGGAGAGACUUCUACGUGCUUGUCUGGCAGUCAAACAUUUCAGGAGCACCUAAAAUGUAUUCAACAAUAUUUCUGCAAUUAGCCUAAUUGGAUAACCAUUGCACAGCUUUAUAACAGUUUGCUCAUUUUAAAACAACAUUAGGCUGGAUGUGUGAUAAAAUCUUUGCAUGGAUUCUGUUUUGUUUUUUAAGAAUGUAAGGGAAGGUAUUGACAGAAUCAUUUUAGGCAACAAGUGUGACUUGGAAGAAAAAUGAGUCAUCUCUAAAGAAAAAGGAGAGAAGAUGGGUUAUAACAGAUUGUUUAUUACAGUCUCACAGUUACAAGCUCACAAAGAAAGAUGUGAGCGAUCCAUUCCAUCUGAUAUGACAUACUGCUGGGGAUGAUUUAUUUUUGUUCAGAAAUACUACCAUUUAUUUUCCAGUUCACAGAUUGAAUAGUUCAGUUCUUAAAUUGUCCAUGCUGUAAAGUCCUACAAAAGAAAGUUAAUUCUGUACCCGAAUACCAGGAAACGUGAGUGAAUUACAUCUACAUUGUACAUAAAAUGUACUAACACAGAAUGCCCACUAAAGUGUUUAUAGAUUGAUUAGAUUGAUUAAAUGAGUGAGCAUAAUGACAGUGGCAGUUUGUCCAAAGUUUGUAUUACUGGUCAUCAAAGAAAACUUUUCCGGUCAAAAGAAUUUGAUAAGAAGAUUGGUCUGGA